GACGAACGCUGGCGGCGUGCUUAACACAUGCAAGUCGAACGGAAAGGCCCUGCUUUUGUGGGGUGCUCGAGUGGCGAACGGGUGCGUAACACGUGAGUAACCUGCCCUUGACUUUGGGAUAACUUCAGGAAACUGGGGCUAAUACCGGAUAGGAGCUCCUGCUGCAUUGUGGGGGUUGGAAAGUUUCGGCGGUUGGGGAUGGACUCGCGGCUUAUCAGCUUGCUGGUGGGGUAGUGGCUUACCCAGGCUUUGACGGAUAGGCGGCCUGAGAGGGUGACCGGCGACAUGGGGACUGCGAUACGGCCCAGACUGCUACGGGAGGCAGCAGGGGGGAAUAUUGCACAAUGGGCGGAAGCGUGAUGCAGCAACGCCGCGUGCGGGAUGACGGCCUGCGGGUUGUAAACCGCUUUCGCCUGUGACGAAGCGGGAGUGACGGUAAUGGGUAAAGAAGCACCGGCUAACUACGUG
Molecule: ribosomal RNA, 468 nt
Filed under: uncultured bacterium
Lineage: Bacteria
Description: partial 16S ribosomal RNA
Rfam family: Bacterial small subunit ribosomal RNA
Source: RNAcentral